This is a long non-coding RNA of Ailuropoda melanoleuca (giant panda), 723 nucleotides long. RefSeq lists it as uncharacterized. Lineage: Eukaryota; Metazoa; Chordata; Mammalia; Carnivora; Ursidae. The record is from RefSeq and is a predicted model, not a curated record. The transcript has 3 exons.
GCAGCCUCAGCCGCAGAGUCUUCAGCUUUUCCCCCAGGGAGUUCACGUGCUCCUUGAUGUCUGGGUCGUGGUUCUCAGCCUGGGGCAUCACCUCCUCCAAGUAAAACUGGAUCAUCUCCGACAAGGCUUGGCAACCCAGCUCCUGAUUCCUUGACUCAGAUAGUAUUAAAUCACUCCGAAUUCUCUUGGCCGGCACCAACAACCAGAGGGCGCUGUCUAAGAAGUGAGCAGUGUGUGGAGUUGCAAUGAAGGCUGGUCAAACGUAAGAGAACGAAAUCCUCCUUUCAUGGAAAGGGAGCACAUGAAAAGAUGCUCCCCGUCCCCCCCAUCAAGGAAGUGCAAAUCAACAUCACCAUGAGCUCGCACCUCACACCUGUCAAAAAAUAUCAAAGUACCAAAAAGACAAGAAAUAAUAAGUGUUGGUGAGGAUGCGGAGAAAAAGAAACAUCCCUGCACAGUUGGGUGGGAACGCAAAGUGGUGCAGCCACUCUGGAGAACAGUAUGGAGGUUCCUCAAAAAACUAAAAAUAGGACUAGCAUAUGAUCCAGCAAUUCUGCUUCUGGGUGUUUGUCUGAAGAAAACAGAACUAACUUGAAAAGAUAUCUGCGCCCCAGGGUUCACUAGGGCAUUGAAUAGCCAAGACAUGGAAACAACCCAAGUGUCCAGUGUCCAUUGAUGAAUGGAUGAAGAAAAUGCGGUAUAUGUAUAUUAUUCAGGCUUUAA